RNAcentral lists this ribosomal RNA (253 nucleotides) under uncultured prokaryote. Its description in RNAcentral is "partial 16S ribosomal RNA". It matches the Rfam family "Bacterial small subunit ribosomal RNA", at positions 524 to 776 of the family's 1533-position model. The record is from RNAcentral.
UACGGGGGGGGCAAGCGUUGUUCGGAAUUACUGGGCGUAAAGCGUGCGUAGGCGGUUUGAUAAGUCGGGUGUGAAAGCCCCGGGCUUAACCUGGGAAUUGCAUUCGAUACUAUCUGACUCGAGUCUGGGAGAGGGGAGCGGAAUUCCGGGUGUAGCGGUGAAAUGCGUAGAUAUCCGGAGGAACAUCAGUGGCGAAGGCGGCUUCCUGGCCUAAGACUGACGCUGAGGUACGAAAGCGUGGGGAGCAAACAGG